This is a long non-coding RNA of Sphaeramia orbicularis (orbiculate cardinalfish), 2470 nucleotides long. RefSeq lists it as uncharacterized. Lineage: Eukaryota; Metazoa; Chordata; Actinopteri; Kurtiformes; Apogonidae. The transcript has 2 exons. The record is from RefSeq and is a predicted model, not a curated record.
AUAUCUCACUUACAAGUUACUCUUUAGGUGAUUAUGUCUUAUUUUAAGUGUGAUGAGAUAUUUUGACUACAAAUGAGAAAAAUACACUUGGUAAAAUUUUCAUUUUUGCAGUGUAACUGAAAAACUGUCCCUCAUUUCUCCUUGGUCUUUUGAGGUCCAACUUAAUCCAGUUGGCGACCAUGUUGUUGCAGUUUUUGGUCGUUGCCAGCUCUCUGUAUGCCUUUUUUCUCCCUAACACUACUAACUCUAUUGGACUGCUGUGUAAAAUGGGCUGUUCAAAGUUUGGUUUGACAAGUUUCUUAAAGAAAAACCAAACUAAUGACCUUUUUUGUGUAUUUAAACCAGUUUAUUUGUGGCUGUCAUAACCUCUCAACACCAUGUUAUCCUUACAGAUGGAAGAUACAGUAGCAGAAACCAGCUAAUUUGUUUAAUAUAUAUUCAAUGUAUCUCCUCUUCCAAAACGGUCUUUUUCUGCUUUGUCGUACCGUUGCUCCCACUCCCUCCUAUCGGUGAAGCAGCUGCUGUGCCUUUCUGCUCUCUCGUAUGCAGCAGUGUGUACCGUUUCAGUUUCAGUCCUCCUUCAUGUCAUCGCCACAGCAGCGCCUGCAGUGAAUGUGUGAACAUAUUGUUUACUCGCUAGAUUAUUUCCUCAACAUUGUAGUGCGAAUUUUUUUUUUUUUUUUUUUAUAGACUUGAGUGACUUUCUACUUUGUAGUGCUAAAAGUUAGUUCACUAGGGACCAAUUUUCUCGCCUUUUGGGCAAAUAUACAAUCAUACAUAAACUGUACUCUACAAAUGUCGUUCUCAAUGUGAAUGUAACUGCACUGAAUGUCUCUGUGUGACUUUAUACAAUACUAGUGAUGUAAGUGACAAGCUUUUCUGUGCACUUGUCCGUUGGUGCAGUUUUAGUGCUUUGAGAUGCACAUUGUCGGCCUCGUUGUGAAUUGGUGGCAUACGUACACUUUGUAGUAUAAAUUAGUAGAGACCAGAUUUAUGUUUUCUAUGGAUAUAUUUGUGAUUUAUAUCGGUGUUCACUGUGAUCAUGUCAUAGAUUAACACAUGAAGGGUUUGUUUUAAUAUCCACUGGAAGAGUAGAAAAUUUUGUUUUGUCUAAAAUAAAACUAAUUUAUAUAAAAUGAAUCACUUAAAUUGUCACCUCAAGAGAUUUUUAUUUUUUGUUUAGAUGUCCAAUUUAGGGAAGAAGUCAGUCCAAUUACAAGAAGAAUAUUAGUAGAAAAUGUAAUUUCCCCUUUUAACUGACAACGAAUAUAAAUGUUUCAUGACCCAAAACUUCAAGCACAAGACUGUAGAAUCAAGUGUUACUAUUUUUGUGGGAACAUUUCCAAUACAUGGUUAGAUUUAACUCUAGAAAUACUAAUACCUCACUUUCAUUUAAUUGUCAUGUUCUCUUUUUCAGCAUGUACCGUAGUUUCCUAACCCACCACAGGACAAAAAAAAAAGCCUUUUCUUUUCUUUAAGAGCUCACUGUCCUUGUUCCCUUCAUUUUUAACAUUGGAUUUGAAGAACACAAUUUAAAAAAAAACAAAACAAAAAAACACUAAGCCAAACAUGUUUUUUGGAGUAAUUUAAAGGUUCAGUAUGAAGGAUUUGCAGGCUCUUGCAUGAGGUUUGCCUUAAAGACUGUUGUUGCUGGUCAUUUGGUAACAUUGGUUCAACUCCAUUUCUAAGUUAACAUAUUAGCUUAGAAAAGGAGUAAGCUAACAUUCACAAAUAACCAGCUCCCAGUACAAAACCAAUUACAACAAAAUGUAUCGAUAUUUUGCAUAUUAACAGUUCAUUAAACUUUGGUGCAGUUCAAUGUUUUGCUCCAUGUUCAGGGAGUACUUUUAAUUUUCCCAAGUACAUAUGCAAUGGAAUAAAGUAUGUCAUAUAAUACUGUAGUAUGACAAAUAUGACUGAUAGAAGUCCUGAAUUACAGCAAACAAAGGUUUGUUUUUUUUUAUUUCAAAAUCCUGCUGUCCACCUGUUCAUCCUUGAACUUACCAAGGCAGAUGGAAACCUCUUAUCUCUACAGUUAUUUGUAUUCACAACUUCAUCAUUUUCUCAAAGUAACAUGAUAACAGUCAUAUUGACUCUAAUAAUGUUGAAUGGGCGUUAAAUUUAAUGUUACACUGUCUCGAAGUGCUUUAAAAGUGUGGUUUACGUUGCUUCUGCCUAGAGUGACUUUAAAACCUGUAACCUCCUGCUAGCUGCUGCUUGUCGUGCAGAACUAGUUUGUCCUCUGACCUUGUACCAUACGCACCAUAAUAUCUGGUUGGUAGCUUAAAUAUACUUUCUGGUGCAGCUCUAAUGUGGACGAGUAUGUAAUCCUCAGGUUUAAGCUUUGUCGUGUCAAAUGGACUGCUUUGAUGUUUUUAUAUUUCUGUCAUUUUUAUCUGAUGUCACUGUACAUGGGCAAACUGUGCAAUUUUUGGCACUACUGUUGUUGCAAUAAAAGUAAGGAAAAUGA